GGAAACAUAGUUCAAUGGUAGAAUACUCACCUCUUAGUGUGAGGUUGAUUCGACAUGUUGAAGCCGACGGGUCGGAGGCUAACCGGUCGUUUCAACUGAACGGAUUUGUGGGAGAUGAGAGUUCGAAUCUCUCUGUUUCUA
Molecule: non-coding RNA, 141 nt
Organism: Sclerotinia nivalis
Lineage: Eukaryota; Fungi; Ascomycota; Leotiomycetes; Helotiales; Sclerotiniaceae
Source: the annotation of a GenBank genome assembly